AUUUUGUCAGCUUUCUUUCUCUCUCUAAAAUCCUUGUCCUAAAAUUCUCUCUACCUUCUCUCUAGAUUUUCUCUUUACUGAUCCGAUCAAAUUUUGAUUUGAAGGUGUUUCCGUGCUCGCUGCACCAAGGGCUUCAGUUUGAAUCGAACGUUUUUCCAUUCCGACCGGUGUUGUCAAACUCGCCUCUGUGAGGAGGUACUGCUAGAGCGUUCCUAGGAGUGGUACUGUUAAGCUUUCCAGAAAGUAUAUGAUUACAAAGUGAUGAAAGUAUGAUCCAAGUUGUAAAUCAAGUUCCAUCUGUGUAGGAUCUCUUGGUGAGAUCCUUAGUGUUUUAGAAUGAAAGUAGGAGCUCAGUCUUGGGGGUCAUUCUGAAACUCCAAUGGCUAAUCAUACUCAAGUAGAGGGAUUAAUCCAUAUGGUGAGGAGUAGCAGGAGGUCUUAGUCUUGGGGGCUUCCAGUAUGUCUCAAGGCCCGGAACAGGCUAACCUCGUGAGUGUGGCAGGGUGGGGAACCCAAGUUUCAUAAGUCACCACGAGUGCAGGACCCGCCAUAGCUCGACUAUCAUUCUAAAGUCCGGACGAGUCAAGUCUAGAAGGUAACAUGCUAGGAUGUAUGCCUUAAACUGCUUUGAUUUAAGUUAUCUCUUGUAUGUUAUGUGCUUGAUAUGAUGCAUGCUUUUAUAUAAUUAGCUCACCCUUGCUUGUUUGUGUGCUUGUUGUAUGUGUUUUCUUUUGCAAUGAUCAUCCACUUGGAUGUGAGCAGAGGAAGAUGAGAUUUAUUUGGAGGCAACAUUGGAGAGAAAUGAAGAUGAUGCUGCAGCUUAGACUCACUAGGAAUUCUUAGUUCUCUUAGUCAUUUUGAAGAACCUUGUUAUGUUUUAAGUUUCAAAUUCUGGACAUAUUUUGGAAUACUCUAGUACUUGAAGUUUUAAUUUCUUAAUAAAUUCUGGAAAACUGUAAUCC
Molecule: small RNA, 962 nt
Filed under: Vigna angularis var. angularis
Lineage: Eukaryota; Viridiplantae; Streptophyta; Magnoliopsida; Fabales; Fabaceae
Description: Non-protein coding transcript
Source: RNAcentral